RNAcentral lists this ribosomal RNA (301 nucleotides) under uncultured bacterium. Its description in RNAcentral is "partial 16S ribosomal RNA". It matches the Rfam family "Bacterial small subunit ribosomal RNA", at positions 509 to 807 of the family's 1533-position model. The record is from RNAcentral.
CAGCCGCCGCGGUAAUGCGUAGGUGGCAAGCGUUGUCCGGAAUUAUUGGGCGUAAAGGGCUCGCAGGCGGUUUCUUAAGUCUGAUGUGAAAGCCCCCGGCUCAACCGGGGAGGGUCAUUGGAAACUGGGAAACUUGAGUGCAGAAGAGGAGAGUGGAAUUCCACGUGUAGCGGUGAAAUGCGUAGAGAUGUGGAGGAACACCAGUGGCGAAGGCGACCCUCUGGUCUGUAACUGACGCUGAGGAGCGAAAGCGUGGGGAGCGAACAGGAUUAGAUACCCCUGUAGUCCCUGUCUCUUAUAC